GCAGGGUGAGGUAGUUGGUUGUAUGGUUUCGCAUCAUAAAGAGCCUGGAGAUAACUGUACAACCUUCUAGCUUUCCCUGC
Non-coding RNA from Tetraodon nigroviridis (spotted green pufferfish), 80 nucleotides. Lineage: Eukaryota; Metazoa; Chordata; Actinopteri; Tetraodontiformes; Tetraodontidae. The record is from Rfam.